This 379-nucleotide unclassified non-coding RNA is filed under the name uncultured Oligoflexales bacterium. RNAcentral describes it as "contains 16S-23S intergenic spacer region". The record is from RNAcentral. Lineage: Bacteria; Pseudomonadati; Bdellovibrionota; Oligoflexia; Oligoflexales.
UCCGUAUUAACUACGGCAGUCUCCCUAGAGUGCCCAACUUAAUGCUGGCAACUAAGGACAGGGGUUGCGCUCGUUGCGAGACUUAACCCAACAUGUCACCACACGAGCUGACGACAGCCAUGCAGCACCUGUCACCUUGUUGUAUUGCUACAAAGAUUGUGUUUCCACAACUGUCAAGGGAUGUCAAACCCAGGUAAGGUUCUUCGCGUUGCUUCGAAUUAAACCACAUGAUCCACCGCUUGUGCGGGCCCCCGUCAAUUCCUUUGAGUUUUAAUCUUGCGACCGUACUUCCCAGGCGGGAUACUUAUUGCGUUAGCUCCGACUCGGCAAGGGUCAAGUCCCGCCAAAUCUAGUAUCCAUCGUUUACAGCGUGGACUAC